Long non-coding RNA from Canis lupus familiaris (dog), 1879 nucleotides. RefSeq lists it as uncharacterized. NCBI's taxonomy places the organism in Eukaryota, Metazoa, Chordata, Mammalia, Carnivora, Canidae. The transcript is spliced from 3 exons. The record is from RefSeq and is a predicted model, not a curated record.
ACGGCUCACUGGAGCAUCUUGUUAAAAUGCAGAUUCUGAUUCCAUGGUCUGGGGUGGGGUCUGAGAUCCUGCAUUUCUAAUAAGUUUCUAGGGUAUGCUGGUGCCACUGGUUCAUGGGCCACACUUUGAAAAGCAAGGUUUAGAAUCUAAGUAUUAACCACAGUACAAAGCGCAAUAAUCUGCAAAAAUGUGACACAAGCAAUAUACCACAGAAAUGAGCAUAGCAGAAGCAGCAUUUCUAACAGGAAGUCAAGGGUGUUGCACAGAGGAGGUGGGAUUUGAGAGAGCCUUGAACGAUGAGGAGGAUUUCUUUGGACAGAAUAUGAGUGUGUAUUAGGGAAAGUUCUGUUUGUCAGAGAAACUGGACCAAUGGGAAGUGUGUGUUUAAAAAGAGAGAGAAAGAUAUUUAUUUUACAAAGUUGUUUAAUGCAGUGGUGGGUGCUGGCAAGUCUGAAACCUGCAGGACAGGACAGCAGGCUGGAGGCCCAGGGAAGUGUCAAUGUUGCAAUUCAACUUCAAAGGCCAGUCUGCUGGCCGAAUUCCCUCUUUAGAGGUGAUUAGGCUUUUCCUAUUAAGGCCUUCAACUGAUUAGACGAGGCUCACCCACACUAUGGAGAAUAAUAUGAUUUACUCAAAGUCUGCUGAUUUAAAUGUUAAUCUCACCUACAAAAUACUUUCAGAGAAAUAUCCAGAAUAAUGUUUGACCAAAUACCUGGCUAGCAUGGCCUAGCCAAAUUGACACAGAAAAUUAACAGGGAAGAGCACACAGGGAAAAUCAGGUCUGGAGGACAACCCACGUGUGAUGCUAUGGAACAGACACUCUGCCUCACUAGCUUUUGAUCUGAGUCAUCUGGAAAAGGGGACGAUGAAUGGGGGCAAAAGCAUUCCAACAUCUGUAGAUAAGGAGCACACUGCCAUGAGAGGGUCUGACUUUCUGUGACUUUGACCUGCAGGAGGGAACACAUUUUACAUUGUGGCCCAGUGGAUAUAAAACUAUAAAUGCAUAGAUGUAGAUAGUGUGUGUAUGUGCAUCAAUAAAAUUGCAUGAAACCAAAAAGGUUUUAUGGCCCGGCAUUACCCAUAUUUCAUUGGCAGAUGAUGCGCUGUAUUUUCUGUUGUCUUCUAUUUCAUCACAAAGAAGAAAAGCUGGCUCUGUCCCACUGAACCCAUUUCACAGUGCUUAAUGGGUGGACACCUGUGGUAAAAAUGUGACUCAGGGCCUCUGGUGGAGUGGGAAAAACUCAGGAGUCUUAUGAACCGAAGCAGCGUUGUCGUGUAGAACUUUCUGCGGUGAUGGAAAUGUACCAUGGUGCACCAUCCAGCACAGGCCCCAUGUGUCUGUUGAGCACGUGAGACGUGGCCAGGCAAAUGAGGAAGUGAAUUUUAUAUUUUAUUCCAUUUUGAUGAGUUUAAAUUUGCUUAACUGCUCACUCGUGUGACUUGACAGUUUGAAAAGAGAGACGCUUUCUGCUUAAUGAGAUCUUAGCGGCCCAUCUUCACAGACGUGCUGAGCUCCACGGACGGCAUCUGUAAGCCACACACGAGAGAGAAAGAAGGCUCCUUCUCCAUCACUCCACCUCGCCCAGCAGCAGAUCUUCCCAGAAAACACAGAAGCCAGGCUCAGCCUCCACCGAGAAAGCCAACAAGCAGAGGACUGGCCUUCCCACCUCUUGGAGUGAUGCCAGCGUGAGCCUCAUGCACCAUAUGCGUGUACCAAGGAUGGUGUAAUGAGUCACCAGUACCCCGGGACACAGCAGGCCACCCUCCACUCAUCAGGCCUGAAGUUGAGAGGCAGCACAGCAAUUUAGUAGCCCAAACGUUUGAUUCAGGUUCUGAUUCUGCUAGUUCCCGGCUGUAUAACAUCGAGCGAGUUACUUAA